ACGCUCACACGGUGGAGCCGCGGUUCCAGCAGGUGUACGACGGUGACGCGACCUGAGGAGAAGGGGGCGUGUUUUCUGUCAAAACACACGCAGCCAAAACCCCAACGUAGCAGUCAAAAAGUAAAUUAAAAGGCUAAUUAUAGAGCAUGAAGUUCCCAAAGUGAAGAGCUGGAUUAUAUAUAUUUUUUGCAUUGUUGUCGCCGAGGAACGGGGAGGAGAAGGAGAGCAGCUAGCAAGAAGAACGCAACAAGCAGCCAAACAAAGGCGCGGCGGAGAGGAGAUGGGUCACAGAAAAGACACUGCGGGAUAACAGACAGAUCAGCCAUCUCUGAUUAUGGGGUGCCAGUUACUUGAGCAACUGGAACAUCUCGGCCGCUGACGAACGUUGGUGUGUGUUUUGUGUGAGUCUGACCCCAGAAUGACACACACACACAGGAGAAGGCUCGACGACCACAGACUCGAAACGAAGAGACCAUUUGCUGCGAGUUCCAGACGCCAAAAUGUGUCUCUGUUCGUUUCAGACACACUGCUCUGCCAUUGCAUCGAGCAUUAAGGUAACAUGCACCACAGCCUUCUGCAAAUGCUCUGUGACAAAACACAUUUGAAUUUUUUACUUGUGAAGCUGUGUACGUAUCUGAGAUUAGCCACAAGCAAACUACACUGACACUGCUCAGUUCAGAGCAAUGCUGCCUCCUGGGAUGAACUGUUGAGCUGUUGUUGUGUUUCAAAAGAUGUUUUCUUUUUUUCCUUAUCCAAAACAAGAAGGCAACCCAGGCCCUUCAAGUAAAAGAAAAUGGAACAGGAAAGGAAAUGUUUAAAAGCCUUUUUGUAUAAUGGGUAGAUCAAUAAAAGACAAACCACUGGAAAAGCCAACAUGUUUUUAGUCAAGGCUCUAAUCUGCAUGGUGUGGAUACACCAAUGGCUCCGUAACAUAACAGGUUGAAAAGAAUGAAACAAAAAAAUAAACUAAGAUGGAAUGACACAGGGAAAGAAAAUUUUACAUAUACACUAAAUGCUGAAAGUAGACAUCCAGGGGAUAACACAGCGGGUUGUGAAUAAAGACGGGAUCUUAUACAGAAACAUGUCAAAUAUGUAUAUUCACUGAGACCAAGAUAUUUUGAUGCAUCCACUCUUAAAUCCCAAAAAUGAAUCAGACCAAAUGACUUCCUCCUAUUGGCUGCUACAAUAGGUGUAGCCACACCGUGUUGUUUUCUUGUUUGGAGCCCCGAUGAAGACCUAGUGGUUGAAAGAUAUUUACUCUUUAAAUGAUUUGCUUUUUUAAAUGACUUUUACAUAUUCCCUUCCUGGUUUAAAAGUGCUUGAGUGCCUGCAUGGCAUUGUUUUCUAUUUUUCAGGUACGAGAUAUUUUUCUUUUCUACGCAGACGACUCAGUUUGAACCUUUGAAGUUUAAGCUACUUUAUUUUUGUCAGCGCCACCGACCGAUUCACUUUGAUGUCGUGCUAACAAAAACAGUCACUUCAAAGUAGUAAACUGCUGUAAAUGAAAUGCGACAAGCUUUGCAUAAAACAUGCAUUUUAGAUGAACGAGAUGGAUAUACCUUGAAAUAACAUCAUGGAAAAAAAACCAGCAUUAAAUUGUAUGUAAGCAGACGCAUGAUCUAACCGGAAGUCAUUGUAAAUACACAAUGUGAGUUGGUCUAUAAAGAUUGACUAUAACACCGAAUAUUUUGCAUGAAUACAGCCUCUGUGACACUUCUGCAAAUUAGAUACGAAAUCAGAAAAAUAACAGUUGCUGGGGGAGACGAAAGCCAAGUGUCGUGUUUGAGAGAAAUCAAUCCCUGUGGAGAAUCCUUGUGUGAUGUUCAGUUUGUUUGACCUUGUGCUGUGAGCCCUCCUUUAAAAACUGCCUCUGCUGACUCUGAGUCAGACAGCGGAGAUUGAUGAGUCACAGAUGAGCAGAUUAAGGCUUCUUCUCCUCUAGCUGAAGUCCACCUUGUUCCUCCUCCUCCUCCUCCUCUCCUCCUACAUCUCUAAAACCAAUCCCCUCGUACACUCUCCCCUCGCUGAACUUCCAGUGCUGUUCAGCAAAUCUCACACUCUCUCCGCUAAUCCUCCACCUCCACUUUCUCAAAACAUGAUCCCUGGUCCUCCUAUUUCUCAUCCUCAACUCGCUCUCUUCUUAUCUGCUUUACCUUGCUCCUCGUAGCUCCCAUAAUUGUUGUUUGUGAAUGAUUAUGCGCUAGCUGCAAGCGAUCACUUGAAAGGUCACCGCAUCAUUCUCAGACAGAAAGCAGAGCACGCAAGAACUGUUAUUGUCGAGUGCAGCUGCAACUAGCUAUUAUUUUGUGGGUUGAUUAAUCUGUGAUGUCUAGUAUAGGAUUGAUCAAGUAAAUUAAAAAAAAUCAAAAUCACAGUCUUUGAACUACAUCCUCCGUCCUUCGUCCUUAGACCCUCAAAUCGAGCCAGGAUAAACUGAAUGGUAGAAAAGUUAAAUAUGUCUGCAAAUAAUAAAACUGUCCAUCACAAUCCCCCAGAAAGCAAGGUCAUGUCUUCAAAUCGCUUUUUUUGUGUGCCUAAUGGUCCAUUAGACACACAGACAUGAAGGGAGACAUUCACUGUACAAAGAUAUUAGAUGAAAAAGAAGCAGAUCUUCUUAAUUGAUAAGUUGGAAUCUUAAUAUUUGUUCUACGUGUCACAAUUCAAUGUCACAGAUAACCGCUGCACACAGUCCUUUCUGAAAUAAUGUCCCAUAGUAGACAGACGACCAGAGAUUUUACCACAUUUUGCUCGGGACUGUCAGCUGUCAUCUCCAAAAUCGCAAAAUGUGAACUCGACAUCUCAGCAAAUUAUAAAGCAUAUUACAUCAGACUCCUCUCCCAUUUUGCAUUUGCAUCUUUUAUACCAGAUCCACAUCUAAGGGCUGUGUAUCAAACCUUAAUACAGUGAGUCAGUUGUCUGCUGUUGCUGAAAGCUUGCUUACACUUCUUUACUUUUUCUUUGAUCAGACAAUUUUUUCCAUUUAAACCAUAAUCCUGCCCAUUUAGAAUUUUCUGUCAGCUAGAUAAUCAUACAGCCACUGGUGUUUGGAGGACAUUUAACAUUUUAGAAAUGUAAAAUGAAAGCCUACUUUUCGAAUUCCAAGCAAUACUACAUCUAACUAUUAAGACAGCAGUGACGGUAAUCUAAAUAUUGACUCCUGGCUGCCUGUGUGUUUAUGUAGUUUCUGUAGUUUUUCUCAUCAGUUGGCCAUUCACCUGACCUCAUAAUGAUGACAGGCUGGUGUCAAAGCUAAAAGAGAUGAUCUGUGCCGUUGUCAGCCUGCCCCAGUGACUUCCUGUGGCCUCCAUUGCACUCAUCCUCCCCUUUAUUUCCUCUCUGUCUUGCUCUUGCUCUAUUUGUACAUCUCCCUCUAUGCUCUGGUAGCAGGAAUACUGCCCCGUAUCCAUAUCAUUCUCUCUCUCUGCCGAGACACACUGUCACAGGCCCAUAACGAUGCUGACAUUUAACACAAUAAGGAGUGUUAUUCCAGCAGCAGUGCACAAGGUCAACUCAUUAGAGGGCAUAAUUGAUGUUGGGUGCAUAUUCCAACCUGCCGCUAAUAGAGAUCUGGGUCAGCUGGCGUAGACUGCAAUUUAACAACAAUAAGGACCAGACACAAAUGAGGGACCUCGAACGUCAUUCAUUGUCAGCGUGGAUACUUCACACUCAGGCAAACAAUUUGUUUUGUUUUGACAUAUCAAUGAGAAAAACAUCAUUCCAGUGGCAUGUGUGGCAACCAGAGAAUGCACAAACAUAUAAGACAACAGAAUACUCUCACUUGUUGAUUGCAGAUACAGUAUUUUCAAAAUAAAGUCACACCCUUCACAGUGACAAUUAUCACAUGGACGAAAUAAGAUGAUAGCAUAAUGUGGACAGUGACAAAGUCUCUGAGGCCCAAUUCAGCAGCAUCCGUAUUCAUAGCAGAUACGAGUCCCUGACCUAAUGUGCUUCUCCUCCACUCCCCUCUCAUUCAUCCAUCUCGCCUCUUUACCCAGCCUCCCACUCCUUCCCACACUCAGCUGCUCAUCGACUGCCAUGCUAACUCAGCCCAUCGUCUCUGCGCCUCUCCUUGUUUCAGCCCAUCCAGCCCGA
Acanthopagrus latus (yellowfin seabream) is the source of this 4092-nucleotide RNA transcript. It is a transcript of the gene named rhodopsin, with no coding region annotated. The record is from RefSeq and is a predicted model, not a curated record. The transcript has 4 exons. NCBI's taxonomy places the organism in Eukaryota, Metazoa, Chordata, Actinopteri, Spariformes, Sparidae.